Triticum dicoccoides is the source of this 721-nucleotide long non-coding RNA. RefSeq lists it as uncharacterized. The record is from RefSeq and is a predicted model, not a curated record. Lineage: Eukaryota; Viridiplantae; Streptophyta; Magnoliopsida; Poales; Poaceae. The transcript is spliced from 4 exons.
GUGUAGGAGAUUCAGAUUUUGUAUCCUCUGAAUCAUGCGUGGAACACAAGGUCCUUUGAUUAUUGCUUCUCACUACAGAUCAUAGUUGGUUUCAGCAGCCUUUGGCGUAAUGUUGCCAGGUAUCUGAGUCCAUUGUCAGCUGCUCCUUUGACAGGGUAGUUGGCUUUGGACUUUAUGAACGGGGUUUUCCAUCGAUAUGAUUUGAGCAUUUUGUCUGCACUGGAUAUUUGUGUACGCAUACAUACUCCUUAUGCUUGAACUACAAAUACGCAGAGUGCCUACUGAGGUUACAGAACUGGAUAGAAGUUCAUUAUGAUAGUUCAUACAGAGAGUUCAUUAUGAGAGUUCAUACAGAGAGCAUCAGCUAGCCGUUCUCUCUCAAGUCUGUCAGGAUAGGACCGAAGCACACACCGAAGUAACCUGAACCUUAAACAUCCUGCAGAUCGUCGGUCCACUCAAUCUGCUCAUCACGAAGCAGUAAAUCAUUUCCUGCUCAUCAUGAAGUAGCAAACCAGUUCUGUGCUAGACCACCAAUCGCGUGCAUGUACUCAUGGCUCACAAAAAUAUAAAUAGAAGUUGGUAAUAUAGCUUCCUUUUCUAGACCUCCAGAUUCCAUCAACACAUACAUUUGUUGGCUUUUCUUGCCAAGAAAACUGCAGAGAGGUAAAGGCUGGUGAAAAUCGAGACAUGAAGCCUUUUUGUCAGCUAAGUUUAAGUUAUU